Molecule: ribosomal RNA, 402 nt
Filed under: uncultured bacterium
Lineage: Bacteria
Description: bacterial SSU rRNA
Rfam family: Bacterial small subunit ribosomal RNA
Source: RNAcentral
UGGGGAAUCUUGCACAAUGGGGGCAACCCUGAUGCAGCGACGCCGCGUGAGCGAUGAAGCCCUUCGGGGCGUAAAGCUCUUUCGACCGGAACGAUAAUGACGGUACCGGGAGAAGAAGCUGCGGCUAACUACGUGCCAGCAGCCGCGGUAAUACGUAGGCAGCAAGCGUUGUUCGGAGUUACUGGGCGUAAAGAGUGCGUAGGCGGUUUUCUAAGUUCGGUGUGAAAUCUCCCGGCUUAACUGGGAGGGUGCGCCGAAGACUGGGAAGCUGGAGUGUGGGAAAGGCAGGCGGAAUUCCUGGUGUAGCGGUGAAAUGCGUAGAUAUCAGGAGGAACACCGGCGGUAUAGACGGCUUGCUAGACCAUAACUGACGCUGAGGCACGAAAGCGUGGGUAGCAAACA